CAGCAUGAUCCAUCAUGUGCAGUGAUCUGUCACCUAGGAGAAGCCAAACUGAUCUCGUCCAAACUACAGCCCGUGUGGAAAAGGCUGUACUUGCAAUGUGGAUGGACAGUCAGAGACUGGGACCUGGGAGCAAGACAGGGAACGAAGCUGCUGGGCAGUGCAGGCAUACUCGGAGCUUAGUAUGUGUACUCUCCAGAGACGUUUGUUUGAGCUCCCCUUUUUGCCUAUCCCAGCUAUUCCUCUUGCUUCCCUGGUGAGCAUUGCCCUGGACUGCUUGGGCAUGUAGGUGUGAGGAGACCUCAGUUUCCAUGGAGAAGUCUAGUUUGAGAUCUGCAACUUAUUUUGAUGUAGGGUCUAGGGUUUAGAGCCGCUGUCUGGUGGGGGGAAGCUCCUUCUCCUCUCAAGCCACGCUGGGGUUACCUGUUUCAUUCCCCCAAACCCUUAAAGCCUUGCUAGAGCCAGAUGACAGAUGUUAAUAUCUGUCUUGGGAUUUAGAUGAUAAUGUGUCAUGCUGAAGGACCCUUUCCUAUGCAGAUGCCAGCUGUCACACCCAAGCACGUUGUGGUCAGCCCUCUGGGUUUUUGCUGAGGGAAGCAGGGCUUGCCUGGGUGUGCAGCACUGAAGGCCAGCUGGUCUACCUGGCCUGGAGGUAGCGUAAAGCCACUCUGGCCUCAUGUUGUAUUUCUUAUUCUCUCUGCCUUUGGGACAGGCUAUGCACCAGCAGGGACUUGACUGCUGUGAUUAUCUGGGCUGUUUAGAAUCUGAUGGGUCUGACUAUCCCUGGGCGGUUCUAGGAUCUGAUAAUCCCACCCCCAAACACACCUUUCUCCAGUUUUCUCCCCAAUCCUAGUAACAGUGUUAGCUCUGCUAUGUUCAUAUGUCUCCCAGUCUUCCUUCCCCACAACGUGCCUACCAACCUCACCUGUGCUGAGCCUAGCUCCUGCCACUGCCUGCCCAAAUCUCUCUGCAGCUCAUCACCACCAGUGUGUUGUGACAGGUUGGCAAAAUUUGCAAAAAGAAAAUGUCUUCUACCACAUUUUUCAGUUUUGCCACCAAAUUUUGACAGAGCCAAGAGCCUGGAGCUGCUUCUGCUGCCCUGAGUGUGCUUGGUGACCUGGAGGGGACCUAGUCAAGUCUCUCCUUAGCAGUUUCCAAGCUAUUCUUUCUCUCAUACUGUGCUGCUCUGGGAGGAGAGGGCAGCUCUUGGAGGACACUAGUUGUGUGGAAGCCUGUUGGACCACCACAGCUCACUUGACUACUCCGAUCCCAAAUCUGCUGUUUUGAAACUAGGCAGUAGGUUGGCAGCUGGGACAUGUGAGAGCAGAGGAGGUAUUGUUUUCAGGCUAAGGACACGUGAGGAAGGAAGAGACUGAGGAUGCAGAUGGAAUGGAAGAAAAUGCCAAGUGGUUAAAUGGCUGUAGAUAAGUGGAGAAACGUCUUAAGAGAUUGACGGUUGCCUGCUGGUUGGAGAGGUGGAAGGAAAGAUUGCAUUCGCACACCAGGAUUGCAAAUCCACUCAUAACCCGUGCACCAAACCCCCCCACCCCCCCCACCCCACCCCCGGUUAAAUUGCAUUUGUUACUCAUUUUUAGCCUUCCCAUUUGUAAACUUGCACAGAGCUCUGUACCGCACCUUUAUGGCCUCAUCUGCUGUUUCCAUCUCGCAGAACCUCUGGCCUGUUUUUCGGGGAGAAAGCCUACAGAAUAAAACUUGUGCAG
Molecule: long non-coding RNA, 1718 nt
Organism: Falco peregrinus (peregrine falcon)
Lineage: Eukaryota; Metazoa; Chordata; Aves; Falconiformes; Falconidae
Exons: 3
Source: RefSeq, a predicted model, not a curated record